GAAGGAUCAUUUCCGUCUUGGAAAUAAAGCAAGAUGGCUGGAUUCAAAGUGCCUUGCAGUCUGAGAAAGAGCCAGAGAGACGUUCUCCUUGAGUCCUACUCUGCAACCAAGCCUUUCCGAGUGGCUGCUCUCUUGUAUACUGGGGAAGGGAGGAUGAUGUUAACCAAAAGGACCCAGCAGCAGACAUGAGGAGCAACAAAGCACAAGACAAGCACACAGAGCACAAGUUGCUGAAAAGGGCACAGACGGCACAGCACAUUCUGCCCAAGCUGGAGAGACAAACAUGAUUAGAAAGAGAUAGAAUGGAAUACACUCCUGACGUCAGUGGGCAAGAGGGGACGAAGCAAUAAAGGGAA
RNAcentral lists this long non-coding RNA (356 nucleotides) under Homo sapiens (human). Its description in RNAcentral is "non-protein coding lnc-MSI2-2:1". Lineage: Eukaryota; Metazoa; Chordata; Mammalia; Primates; Hominidae. The record is from RNAcentral.